GAUGAAUGCUGGCGGCGUGCCUAAUACAUGCAAGUCGAGCGAACAGACGAGGAGCUUGCUCCUCUGACGUUAGCGGCGGACGGGUGAGUAACACGUGGAUAACCUACCUAUAAGACUGGGAUAACUUCGGGAAACCGGAGCUAAUACCGGAUAAUAUAUUGAACCGCAUGGUUCAAUAGUGAAAGACGGUUUUGCUGUCACUUAUAGAUGGAUCCGCGCCGCAUUAGCUAGUUGGUAAGGUAACGGCUUACCAAGGCAACGAUGCGUAGCCGACCUGAGAGGGUGAUCGGCCACACUGGAACUGAGACACGGUCCAGACUCCUACGGGAGGCAGCAGUAGGGAAUCUUCCGCAAUGGGCGAAAGCCUGACGGAGCAACGCCGCGUGAGUGAUGAAGGUCUUCGGAUCGUAAAACUCUGUUAUUAGGGAAGAACAAAUGUGUAAGUAACUAUGCACGUCUUGACGGUACCUAAUCAGAAAGCCACGGCUAACUACGUG
This 497-nucleotide ribosomal RNA is filed under the name uncultured bacterium. Its description in RNAcentral is "partial 16S ribosomal RNA". It matches the Rfam family "Bacterial small subunit ribosomal RNA", at positions 28 to 507 of the family's 1533-position model. The record is from RNAcentral.